This 492-nucleotide ribosomal RNA is filed under the name uncultured bacterium. Its description in RNAcentral is "partial 16S ribosomal RNA". It matches the Rfam family "Bacterial small subunit ribosomal RNA", at positions 29 to 507 of the family's 1533-position model. The record is from RNAcentral.
AGUGAACGCUGGCGGUAGGCCUAACACAUGCAAGUCGAACGGCAGCACAGUAAGAGCUUGCUCUUACGGGUGGCGAGUGGCGGACGGGUGAGGAAUACAUCGGAAUCUACUUUUUCGUGGGGGAUAACGUAUGGAAACUUACGCUAAUACCGCAUACGACCUACGGGUGAAAGCAGGGGAUCUUCGGACCUUGCGCGAUUGAAUGAGCCGAUGUCGGAUUAGCUAGUUGGCGGGGUAAAGGCCCACCAAGGCGACGAUCCGUAGCUGGUCUGAGAGGAUGAUCAGCCACACUGGAACUGAGACACGGUCCAGACUCCUACGGGAGGCAGCAGUGGGGAAUAUUGGACAAAGGGCGCAAGCCUGAUCCAGCCAUACCGCGUGGGUGAAGAAGGCCUUCGGGUUGUAAAGCCCUUUUGUUGGGAAAGAAAAGCAGCAGGUUAAUACCCCGCUGUUCUGACGGUACCCAAAGAAUAAGCACCGGCUAACUUCGUG